RNAcentral lists this ribosomal RNA (468 nucleotides) under uncultured bacterium. Its description in RNAcentral is "bacterial SSU rRNA". It matches the Rfam family "Bacterial small subunit ribosomal RNA", at positions 334 to 793 of the family's 1533-position model. The record is from RNAcentral.
CUAUCCUACGGGAGGCAGCAGUGGGGAAUAUUGUCACAAUGGGCGCAAGCCUGAUGCAGCCAUGCCGCGUGUAUGAAGAAGGCCUUCGGGUUGUAAAGUACUUUCAGCAGUGAGGAAGGUGGGUAUGUUAAUAGCAUACUCAUUUGACGUUAGCUGCAGAAGAAGCACCGGCUAACUCCGUGCCAGCAGCCGCGGUAAUACGGAGGGUGCGAGCGUUAAUCGGAAUUACUGGGCGUAAAGCGCAUGCAGGUGGUUUGUUAAGUCAGAUGUGAAAGCCCGGGGCUCAACCUCGGAAUUGCAUUUGAAACUGGACAAACUAGAGUACUGUAGAGGGGGUAGAAUUUCAGGUGUAGCGGUGAAAUGCGUAGAGAUCUGAAGGAAUACCGGUGGCGAAGGCGGCCCCCUGGACAGAUACUGACACUCAGAUGCGAAAGCGUGGGGAGCAAACAGGAUUAGAUACCCUGGUAG